GUAGGCGGCAAGCGUUGUCCGGAAUUAUUGGGCGUAAAGCGCGCGCAGGCGGUUCUUUAAGUCUGAUGUGAAAGCCCACGGCUCAACCGUGGAGGGUCAUUGGAAACUGGAGAACUUGAGUACAGAAGAGGAAAGCGGAAUUCCACGUGUAGCGAUGAAAUGCGUAGAGAUGUGGAGGAACACCAGUGGCGAAGGCGGCUUUCUGGUCUGUAACUGACGCUGAGGCGCGAAAGCGUGGGGGGAGCAAACAGGAUUAGAUACCCUGGUAGUCCACGCCGUAAACGAUGAGUGCUAAGUGUUAGGGGGUUUCCGCCCCUUAGUGCUGCAGCUAACGCAUUAAGCACUCCGCCUGGGAGUACGGCCGCAAGGCUG
Molecule: ribosomal RNA, 372 nt
Filed under: uncultured organism
Description: partial 16S ribosomal RNA
Rfam family: Bacterial small subunit ribosomal RNA
Source: RNAcentral